UGAGGAAUAUUGGUCAAUGGACGCAAGUCUGAACCAGCCAAGUAGCGUGCAGGAUGACGGCCCUAUGGGUUGUAAACUGCUUUUAUAUGGGGAUAAAGUGGGGAACGUGUUCCCUUUUGCAGGUACCAUAUGAAUAAGGACCGGCUAAUUCCGUGCCAGCAGCCGCGGUAAUACGGAAGGUUCGGGCGUUAUCCGGAUUUAUUGGGUUUAAAGGGAGCGUAGGCCGUUUGGUAAGCGUGUUGUGAAAUGUAGGAGCUCAACUUCUAGAUUGCAGCACGAACUGUCAGACUUGAGUGCGCACAACGUAGGCGGAAUUCAUGGUGUAGCGGUGAAAUGCUUAGAUAUCAUGAAGAACUCCGAUUGCGAAGGCAGCUUACGGGAGGGCAACUAACGCUGAAGCUCGAAGGUGCGGGUAUCGAACAGG
RNAcentral lists this ribosomal RNA (424 nucleotides) under Verrucomicrobiota bacterium. RNAcentral describes it as "Verrucomicrobia bacterium partial 16S ribosomal RNA". It matches the Rfam family "Bacterial small subunit ribosomal RNA", at positions 355 to 776 of the family's 1533-position model. Lineage: Bacteria; Pseudomonadati; Verrucomicrobiota. The record is from RNAcentral.